CUUUUUGAAAAUUCACUAAAGAUGGCUAUUGCCAGUGAAGAGGUAUCAAUUUGUUCUUGAAUAAAACUCGUGAUGUCUUUCCCCAAUACUUUUUUGAGAAGCAAUAUAAAAUAUUCAAACCUUGUUUUUACAGAUACCUCACCUUUCCCUUAUUUGAAGUUCGUGCCGAUGACCAUUAAGAUUAUUGAGAUCAAAGCCUUAGUUAUACUACAAUAACUAACUAACCUGGAUUCGCCCCAGGCUAUAACUAAACCGGGUUGGAUUUUCGUAGUAAAAACGCAAAGUUCGCCCCAGAUUAACUCAACCCGUCUUGAAAGGUGGGUUAAGUGCAAUGCAAACGCAAACUUGCGGCGAACAUGGGUUAGUUUCUUCACGACGAAUGCGCAUUGACAGAAACUGCGCUGAAUGCAAAACAAAGCAAAGCGCAAAUGCAAUGUUUUCUCAUUGUACGAAGCCAGUGCUCGGAAUCAUCGUACUUUAAAGUCGAUUUAUGGUUUUCUGUAAAGUUCACAAAACAUUACACACGUUGACCGCCGCCAUUUUGUUUAUCCUCACCUUCAAUUUUGCGUGUUACGAAUGCGUCGUUACCAAACUAACCCAGGUUUGCCCUUGAUUCCGUCUACACUACAAAAUCGAUAAUUUAAAGUGUAAAUUCGUGCCGGGUUACUUUUAACCUAGGGUGAACCCAGGUUAGUUUGUAUAGUGUAAACAGGGCUCAAGAUGCCUAUUUUAAAAUGGCAGCUGUCGCCUUAUGUCUAAACUUAAACUCAUUAAAACUAUUGUAAUGCAUUCUAAAACUGCCCUAAACAUCUUAAUCACUCAGCUGUAGUCGAAAAACAACAUAUUCAGAAAUAUUCUUCACAUAAUGCAAAAACAAACACUGUUUACUAGUAUACUGUUAGAUCCCUCGCAGUAUUCAUACACAGUAUAAAUGAAGCAUUCAUUUCCAAUUCUUCACAGAAGAAAUGAGCAACCAAAUUGUUAAAGGUUGAAGAAGAGGAGUUUACUACCAAAUCUGUAAUACCAAAUAUAUUCUAUAAGUCUAGCAAACUUUCUAUGAUGUGCGGACAUUUAACUUGUUGCUCUUGUGUUCAACUAACACAAGCAGUAACAUCUGGAAAUAACUAAAUUAAUAUUUAUGAGAACUCUGAUAUUGCAAACACUUCUAAAAGAUUAAAUUCCUUUGAAUGAGCCAUUCAUUAUUGAUUAGCCUUUUUCAGUUUGAUGGAGUGAUGUGAUGAGACCCUUUUCAAUUUCAUCUUGAGUUCAAUGGCUUUAUUGGAGUCAAAACAUACUAUGUAAACACACGGUCUCAGUAUGCUCACAGUAUCAGGAGAGAAAUUAACAUUGCAGUCCACUCGAACCAACUAGUAUCGUUUGCCUAACCUAGUGAUCAAGGAUAUCAUAAUUGUGGAAUUACCUAUUUGCAGGAAGACUUUAGCUGUUGAAGAUGGGGAACAAACCCGCAAAGGAACAGAUAGAGUAUGAAACAGAGCGAGGCAGUGAUCUAGAAUGGACUAUCCUUUUGUCUCAUGACGAUGCCGGAGAAGAUUCAAAAAAAUUGAUUACAGCUUUGAAAAGAAAUGGUCAGAUAAGGCUCUUUCACAAAGAUGACUUGAAAAUUUCUUCUGCGAAUCCAGACGAAAAUGCAGACAAAUUGGUCGAUUUCAUGCAACAUUUAAGCAGUCUUCUGAUCCUUUGCACGGAUGGAUUUGAAAAGUUACUAACAGAGCGAAUUGAAGAUCCCGAAGUGAAGAUAUUUGCCGAAGUGAAGAUAUCAGGUGAAGAAGUAUACACCAAUUUUCAAAAGCUUCGCGAUCGGAUUGAUGCUGAAGGAUUGUCCAAAAAGAUAUUGAUUUUGCUGUUACCAGAACACUCAAAAAAGAAAAAAGCGCUGAUAGAUAAAGGUUUCAUUGCGGAAAAUAUUUUAGAGCUGUCUAAAGAUGGCCCAACUAAUUUAACAGGACCACUUCAUGAACAUUGGGUGGACAAGUACAUAGUUCGAAGCCUUGUGGUCCAGUCCGGUAAAGGGAAACUUUGCACGCAAACCUCUGUAGAAAAUUAAGUCCACACUAGUUUAAAGUAAAAACUGCAUAUAAGAAGCUCAUACUCUUUGAAACAGACUUUUCUUCGAAAAGCUUUUAGUAUGUGGUAAAGUGUUUGCUGUUUCAAAGCCAUUUUCAAAUUUUCUUUCUCCAAAAAUUGUUCGAAUCAGACUAUACGGUUUCGUCUAAAGAAAUAGAUUUGAAAAGAGGCUGAUGAGUUUCUUGUAAAGGAAUAGAUUUGAAAAGAGGCUGAUCGGUUACUUAUUAAAAUGAGUUUCAAAAGAAAAGAACACGAAAUGGAAAUUUUACACUUUGACAGAAUGAAAUGAGCUAUUAAAGAGCAGUUAUUCAAAUUCAGUUAGUUGAAAAAUGGUUGUUUAUGGAAAACUGCAUCUUACAAACAUUCUACUUCACAAUCUUUUUCUGUAAAUAAGCACUUAUAAGAAAUUAGAGAAACUCAGGCUCGACAGUUUCGAAUACAUUGGUGCAUAAAUUUGAAAAAGUCACCUUUAUCUUCUUAUCAGUGAGUUCCUUAUCUGUGGAUUUUUACUGCUAUCAAUUUAAACAUACACAUUCAAAUAUAUAAAUGUCAUUCAUAUUAAUUUUUGCCAAAAGCUGGAAUUUAGCUUUAAAUGUAGAAAUUACAUACCGUUUUGGUAUCAAUUUCACCUUACGCUAUUCAAUGAUCAGAUAAUGUAUGCACCUAAUAUUUGUCGUUCCUGCAUCUGAACCUAAUUCUUGUUUACAUAUAAAUACAAUAUGAAUUAAAUCGAUUGCAUGCACCAAAAAUACCUCGACAUUCAUUUCAAGGAAUUACGGAUUCGCCAGCCACUGCAAACUAAACACACGGCUAUUUUUGCUUUUUAUUCAUCAAAUCGAACGAGGAAAUUUCAAAAAGCAAAAACCGAUUCCUUAGCAAUGAAAUUAGUGA
This is a non-coding RNA of Rhopilema esculentum, 2976 nucleotides long. NCBI's taxonomy places the organism in Eukaryota, Metazoa, Cnidaria, Scyphozoa, Rhizostomeae, Rhizostomatidae. The record is from RefSeq and is a predicted model, not a curated record.